Molecule: ribosomal RNA, 348 nt
Filed under: Triticum aestivum (bread wheat)
Lineage: Eukaryota; Viridiplantae; Streptophyta; Magnoliopsida; Poales; Poaceae
Description: partial small subunit ribosomal RNA
Source: RNAcentral
UGGUGGGGUCACGAGGAUGGCAAAAAGAAGAUGCACUGGCGCUCAUGGGACUGGCUUUCCACUCCAAAAGCUCUCGGUGGCAUGGGGUUCAGGGAUAUGGCGCUCUUUAACCAGGCGAUGCUUGGUAAACAAGGAUGUCGCCUCCUGACGGAGCCCGUAUCACUUUGUGCGCAGGUCCUAAAGGGAAGGUAUUUUCCUUUCACUGACUUUUGGAAUGCUUCGGCUCCCCGCGCGGCAUCGGCCACUUGGCAGGCCAUUCUUCAUGGCCGAGAUCUUCUGAAGCAGGGGGUGCAAUGGGGCCUUGGUGAUGGCCGGAGCACUCAUAUUCUGUCCGAUCAUUGGAUUCCU